ACUCAAAGGAAUAGACGGGGACCCGCACAAGCGGUGGAGUAUGUUCUUUAAUUCGAUGCUACGCGAGAAACCUUACCGACCCUUGACAUGUCACACGCGAUUUCCAGAGAUGGAUUUCUUCAAUUCGGUUGGUGUGAACACAGAUGCUGCAUGGCUGUCGUCAGCUCGUGUCGUGAGAUGUUAGGUUAAGUCCUGCAACGAGCGCAACCCACAUCCUUUGUUGCCAUCGGGUAAUGCCGGGCACUCUUGGGAAACUGCCCGCGUCAAGCGGGAGGAAGGUGUGGACGACGUCAAGUCAUCAUGGUUCUUACGGGUCGGGCUAGAAACGUACUACAAUGGCGAUAACAAUGGGUCGCAAUGCCGCAAGGCAAAGCCAAUCCUUAAAGAUCGCCCCAGUUCGGAUUGUCCUCUGCAACUCGAGGGCAUGAAGUCGGAAUCGCUAGUAAUCGCUGAUCAGAAUGCAGCGGUGAAUACGUUCCCGGGUCUUGUACACACCGCCCGU
Molecule: ribosomal RNA, 502 nt
Filed under: uncultured bacterium
Lineage: Bacteria
Description: bacterial SSU rRNA
Rfam family: Bacterial small subunit ribosomal RNA
Source: RNAcentral